Molecule: unclassified non-coding RNA, 349 nt
Filed under: soil metagenome
Description: partial contains 5.8S ribosomal RNA, internal transcribed spacer 2, and large subunit ribosomal RNA
Rfam family: 5.8S ribosomal RNA (bases 1-120)
Source: RNAcentral
GAUGAAGAACGCAGCGAACUGCGAUAAGUAAUGUGAAUUGCAGAAUUCAGUGAAUCAUCGAGUCUUUGAACGCACAUUGCGCCCCCUGGCAUUCCGGGGGGCAUGCCUGUCCGAGCGUCAUUGCUGCCCUUCAAGCCCGGCUUGUGUGUUGGGUCGUCGUCCCCCCCGGGGGACGGGCCCGAAAGGCAGCGGCGGCACCGCGUCCGGUCCUCGAGCGUAUGGGGCUUUGUCACCCGCUCGAUUAGGGCCGGCCGGGCGCCAGCCGGCGUCUCCAACCUUCUAUUUUACAGGUUGACCUCGGAUCAGGUAGGGAUACCCGCUGAACUUAAGCAUAUCAAUAAGCGGAGGA